This 2033-nucleotide long non-coding RNA is filed under the name Medicago truncatula (barrel medic). RNAcentral's name for it is "long non-coding RNA (MTRU_LNC002569)". The record is from RNAcentral. Lineage: Eukaryota; Viridiplantae; Streptophyta; Magnoliopsida; Fabales; Fabaceae.
CCAAAGUACUUGACAUUCAAAAUCUUCCCCAACAAAACAACUGAUUUCUUCGUACAAAGACUCAACGAAACAUAUAUAUUUCUUCAUGACUACAUGAAAUUGAUUUAAUAAAUUUAUUUACCUGUGAGCAUCCAAAAAGUUUAAGGAACCUCAAUGACGAGCAGCUAUCGACAAUUAAACCAAACUCAUUGUCUGUCAAGUUUCGACACCAUGAUAAAUCUAAGGUAUGCAAAUUUUUGGCAUUCUUUGCAAGUGAUAAGCUUGUUUGUUGGCCAACCUGGAACAAACCAAAUGUGAUAGAUACUCAAAAAAUUAACAGAAGCCUGAAAUUAGUAAUACUCAAGAAUUAGUUGAGUCAAUAAUGUCUUCCAGAAACAAUAGCACAAAACUUUGUUUUGUUAAAUCAAUCAAAUUUUAUAAUAUAAUUUAUAUUGUCUAUAAUUAUCAUAAUAUUUGGUUAUGAAAUCAAUCUUUCAAUAUAAUGACAAAAGGCUAAGUUGAAACUUGAUGAAUCCUUUCAUAUUAUGCACGUUCCUUUAAAACAUGUUACAGUUUUCUAAGUGCUAAUGUGUUCAUCUAUAACAUGAGAGACAUUCAGCAAGAAAAUAUUAAAAAUGUUACCUUCUUAAUGUUAUUAAGUGAAAGUUCUUCCAAGGAUUUGCCAUUUAUCUCCAAAAAUGCAGCAAUUGCUUCAUCGCUGUAAUGGAGAAAAGGUUAAAUUAUUAUUAGGCAAUUGAAAUUUAGGAUGGGUUAAGAUUACACAAUAAGCACUCUGAAACACCAUCCAAACAUAUCACAAAGAUAUAAACUUGGUAAUAAGAUGUAUGCAAUGGUGUUCUCAAAUCUUUGAACAAAUUACUCAUGAUAUUCCAAAUGCUGGAAAAUCAAUUACUGUCCAUACAAAUAUUAGCAAUAGUCUACCAAUAUAUGACGAGUUAGACCAUCCACAAUGGUAGGGUCUUAACUAUUUAAGAUCCAAUACCUAAUAGGUAUCCCUAUUGUGGAGAAAUUUUUUGGGGGUCUUCUAAGACCCAAGGUCUCACUUAAGACCUCAAUGCUUAAGUGGGCCCCACAUUACUUUUGCUUAAAAUAAUCAAUGUCAUUGUACUAUUGCUUUUCAAUUGCAAUUUACCUUGGUUUUUUAAUGUUAUUGGUGGGUCCUAUUUAGACCUUUUGUUGAAGGAUCUCCAUUGUAGUGGUUGAGUACCUAUUAGGUACUAUUAUUAAAAAAUAAUAAAAAAGUGAUGUGUUAAUGUGGGAUCCAUUUAAGACCUCAAAGUUGAGGGUCUCCAUUGUAGAUGUUGUUAGAGAAUCUGUAGCAUCUUAAGGAAGACAUUACAGAAAAUUUCUCAGGGAGGAUUUCAAUUAUUCAUAAAUAUUACUACAGAUAAUAUAUAAAUUUGUGUGCGUAGUCCAAAAUGAAAAAGCGACCAGUUUCCUUUCAUACCAGUAAGUACUAUCCUAGUAUAUACUAUCACAGAAACAAAGAUUCCUUUCCUACUAAAAAGCAAGAAAUUACUAGAAAAAAAGUAAUAUAUAAAAAAUAAUAAUAAUAAUGAAACGCCUGAAAAUUGUAUAAAACAAGAAACUACCUGAAUGAAUUGCGGCAUAGCUUCAGAUUAAGCAAUGCUCGACAACUAUUUGCAAGAUAUCUUAUGGUUAAAUCUGUCAAUUUGCACAAGUUUGUAAUAUCAAGUGCAUGCAACUCAGGACAAUGUUCAGCAAUGAAUUUCAUUGAUGCAUCAGUCAAAUUCCUGUACAUCGAGAUAUAAACCAAUCGAUUAAACUGCUAAUUAAGUGUAUGCAAAAAUAAGAAAAACAAAUUCCAUGCAUGAACCGAAAAGCUCAAAUAGUACUUACACACAGUCCCUUAAAACAAGCUCAUUAAUGUUGUGACCACAUGUAAUGAUAUAAUUCUUGAUGAAUUUAUCAGUAACAGUAGGAAGUCCAGCUAGUGACAACACUUCUAAAUGUUCGAGUCUCUUCAAUGCCGAUAAAAUUAGUGCAACAUCAAUGAGUAUACAAUCAUCAAG